Molecule: long non-coding RNA, 539 nt
Organism: Mesocricetus auratus (golden hamster)
Lineage: Eukaryota; Metazoa; Chordata; Mammalia; Rodentia; Cricetidae
Exons: 3
Source: RefSeq, a predicted model, not a curated record
UUUUGGCUUGUUAAUGCAGAACCUUAGUCUGUAUCACCAAGGGGACCUGGAACUCACUAUGUAGACUGGGAAACUCACAGCAAUCCUCCUGCCUCAGGCCCGAGUACUGCAAUUACGGACACCCAAAAGAAGGCCACCAGAGUCAGUUUCUGAUAAACUACCUCCAUUCUCCAUCUCAUAUGGCCCUCUCCCAGGGCAGCCCUGCCACCCCGAAAGAAUUCCGCCUUCCUCGCCCCCAGGGACCAGAACAGAUGGAGCCAGGCCCCUUGGGAAGCCCUGGGAGCAGCAAGCUCAUUGAGAAACGAUAGCUCCAGUCACCUUGCCAGCUCCUCACUGUGCAGGAGACAGACAUCUGAAGAUGGAAACCCACAACAACAAGCGUCUGAUUUCCAGACUCACGGUGGCUGCUUCUCCCAAGACAAACCAGUCUUCUUCGGUGUGCCAAGUCACGACUUGUCACGCUGACAAAUGCAUGACGUAUUGACUUGCUGUGGUCCCGCUAAUGAACCAUCUACGUUUAUUCACAAACGCUUUGCCCC